GACGAACGCUGGCGGCGUGCCUAAUACAUGCAAGUCGAACGCUGAAGGAGGAGCUUGCUUCUCUGGAUGAGUUGCGAACGGGUGAGUAACGCGUAGGUAACCUGCCUGGUAGCGGGGGAUAACUAUUGGAAACGAUAGCUAAUACCGCAUAAUAGCAGUUAUUGCAUGAUAACUGUUUGAAAGGUGCAAUUGCACCACUACCAGAUGGACCUGCGUUGUAUUAGCUAGUUGGUGGGGUAACGGCUCACCAAGGCGACGACACAUAGCCGACCUGAGAGGGUGAACGGCCACACUGGGACCGAGAAACGGCCCAGACCCCUACGGGAGGCAGCAGGAGGGAAUCUUCGGCAAUGGACGGAAGUCUGACCGAGCAACGCCGCGUGAGGGAAGAAGGUUUUCGGAUCGUAAAGCUCUGUUGUAAGAGAAGAACGAGUGUGAGAGUGGAAAGUUCACACUGUGACGGUAUCUAACCAGAAAGGGACGGCUAACUACGUG
This 495-nucleotide ribosomal RNA is filed under the name uncultured bacterium. Its description in RNAcentral is "partial 16S ribosomal RNA". It matches the Rfam family "Bacterial small subunit ribosomal RNA", at positions 28 to 507 of the family's 1533-position model. The record is from RNAcentral.